UACAGAGGGGGCAAGCGUUGUUCGGAAUUACUGGGCGUAAAGGGCGCGUAGGCGGCCUGUUAAGUCAGACGUGAAAUCCCUCGGCUCAACCGGGGAACUGCGUCUGAUACUGGCGGGCUUGAAUUCGGGAGAGGGAUGUGGAAUUCCAGGUGUAGCGGUGAAAUGCGUAGAUAUCGGGAGGAACACCUAUGGCGAAGGCAGCUCGCUGGGACGUUACUGACGCUGAGGAGCGAAAGCGUGGGGAGCGAACAGG
Molecule: ribosomal RNA, 253 nt
Filed under: uncultured bacterium
Lineage: Bacteria
Description: partial 16S ribosomal RNA
Rfam family: Bacterial small subunit ribosomal RNA
Source: RNAcentral